Triticum aestivum (bread wheat) is the source of this 136-nucleotide non-coding RNA. The record is from Rfam. Lineage: Eukaryota; Viridiplantae; Streptophyta; Magnoliopsida; Poales; Poaceae.
GAAUUACUCCCUCCGUUCCGAAUUACUUGUCUUAGAUUUGUCUUAGAUACAAAGGUAUCUAGCACUAAAAUGAGUCUAGAUACGCAUCCGUAUCUAGACAAAUCUAAGACAUAAUUCGGAAUGAAGGGAGUACUAC